RNAcentral lists this ribosomal RNA (497 nucleotides) under uncultured bacterium. RNAcentral describes it as "partial 16S ribosomal RNA". It matches the Rfam family "Bacterial small subunit ribosomal RNA", at positions 28 to 507 of the family's 1533-position model. The record is from RNAcentral.
GACGAACGCUGGCGGCGUGCCUAAUACAUGCAAGUAGAACGCUGAAGCGAGGAGCUUGCUCUUCUUGGAUGAGUUGCGAACGGGUGAGUAACGCGUAGGUAACCUGCCUUGUAGCGGGGGAUAACUAUUGGAAACGAUAGCUAAUACCGCAUAACAAUGGAUGACACAUGUCAUUUAUUUGAAAGGGGCAAUUGCUCCACUACAAGAUGGACCUGCGUUGUAUUAGCUAGUAGGUGAGGUAAUGGCUCACCUAGGCGACGAUACAUAGCCGACCUGAGAGGGUGAGCGGCCACACUGGGACUGAGACACGGCCCAGACUCCUACGGGAGGCAGCAGGAGGGAAUCUUCGGCAAUGGGGGCAACACUGACCGAGCAACGCCGCGUGAGGGAAGAAGGUUGUCGGAUCGGAAAGCUCUGUUGUAAGUCAAGAACGGGUGUGAGAGUGGAAAGUUCACACUGUGACGGUAGCUUACCAGAAAGGGACGGCUAACUACGUG